This 254-nucleotide unclassified non-coding RNA is filed under the name uncultured Gemmatimonadota bacterium. Its description in RNAcentral is "uncultured Gemmatimonadetes bacterium contains 16S-23S intergenic spacer region". It matches the Rfam family "Bacterial small subunit ribosomal RNA", at positions 524 to 776 of the family's 1533-position model. Lineage: Bacteria; Pseudomonadati; Gemmatimonadota. The record is from RNAcentral.
GACGGAGGGCGCGAGCGUUGUUCGGAAUCACUGGGCGUAAAGCGCGCGCAGGCGGGUGCGGAAGUCGGGGGUGAAAGUCCGGGGCUCGACCCCGGGAGGUUCUCUCGAUACUCCAUGCCUAGGGACCGGUAGAGGCCAGUGGAAUUCCCGGAGUAGCGGUGGAAUGCGUAGAGAUCGGGAAGAACACCAGAGGCGCAGGCGGCUGGCUGGGCCGGAUCUGACGCUCAGGCGCGAAAGCGUGGGCAGCAAACAGG